This is a long non-coding RNA of Myxocyprinus asiaticus (Chinese sucker), 3553 nucleotides long. RefSeq lists it as uncharacterized. NCBI's taxonomy places the organism in Eukaryota, Metazoa, Chordata, Actinopteri, Cypriniformes, Catostomidae. The transcript has 6 exons. The record is from RefSeq and is a predicted model, not a curated record.
UUUAACCAAAAGAAAACAUGCUCAUUUUUUUUACAUGUGUAAAUAAACACAUGCUCAAGAAACACUGCAUUAGUCCAUACAUAACAGCCAGCAUUUUUUUGUUUUCAAGGAGAUGUUGGAAUUUACAUUAGAACAAUGUCCACCUCAUCCAGAAACCAAAAAAAAAAACAUCCGAAUUUGGAAUGUGUGAACAAAUUUCGGUGUCUUUAUAUAACUUUUGGUAUAAUAUGACCCCAUAUAGCUCUGUUAUUUAUGACUUUAUAUGUAUCUGCACACUUGUUAUGAUUUCUUUUUCUUAAUUUAAGUGAAUUACUCCCUUUUAUAUCCCUUUUCUCUUAUGAUUAUUUUUAUUUGUAUAUUAAUUAUUUUGUCACUUUUUUUAAUCCCAUUGGCGCUGAAUUUUAUUUCUAUUUUUGUUUUUCUGUUCUGAAAACUCGUGUCUGUUAUUGCAAUAAAAUAAAAUAGAAUUGCGUCUUCUCAUUGGCCUAUAUCCACUGCAGACACUCAGAGAACCAUAAAAUGAGGCUUACAAGCUAGACAGUGCAGAUUCACUUUUUGUUUUAUUUUUUACCAUCAUGUCAAUCGCAUGGGAUUAAUAUAAAAUGGGGUUAUUCUUUACCAGGUGUUUUGGUAAAAGACGCUGUAAUCUUUACCGGCUCAGGAACACACAGUCCAUAAAAAUCUGGAAAAACGUCCAUCAAGAAUAAAGGUAAUGUGUCUUUUAAAGAAAAUGAGGAAAAGUUGAGUUCCUAUCUGUUAUGCUGUUUGUUGAAAGGACAAAUGUGAUGUAAAAUCUGUCAAGUAACACUACAUUUUUGCGUUAAUGCCAAACUAGUUUUUCACGGCAAUUGACGUGUCAACAUAAGUUUUAUGUGCCAAACUUAAACUGAAAUGUAUUGUCGAAAUUUUAUCUAUAAUUUGCAUUUCCAUCAGCUUUAUUUUGAUGCGCUAAAACUUUUUCACAAACAAUCCUUGAAUGGAAACUUGUUAUUGAUCUGCAGUAUGAACAGUCACUAAUAAACUGAUUCAUCCAUCAUCAGCCAACCUCUUAUGAAUAAUCCACCAUUCUUUCUCUCUCUCUCUCCAAUUUCUGCCCAUCAUCCUUCUUCCUGACCUCAUUUCACAUCUCUUCCCUUUUGUAGCCCAUAUUUUAUUUUAUCUCUUAUCAUCCAUUCGCCUUUUUUCUUUUUUUUUUGCCACUUUGCUUAUGGACAAUAGAACAGUCCUCCACUCGGUUGGUGCCUUCAGUGGGAGGAGCUAAGUGGGCUUAGUUUUGAUUUACAGUACUCUGUGCAACUUCAGAGACAUUUGUCCCUCUGCUAAGAGAAAAGAAGAGGGAAAAGGAGGGUUCAUUCAUAAGAAGGACCCUCCGUGUAAUCCACACAAGUCAGUGGAGAAGGAGUGGGGGGGACUUUCUCCUUUAUUUUAACUCGGGUUUCUAAAUUACUUUAGUUCCUGUGACACAAGUUUCUUGGGGAACUAGACAUUUUGAGUUUGGGUUUAUUAUGCUGGUUUCUCCACUCAACAUGAAACUGAUCUGGGACAACAGAGACAAUAUUCCGUUUUCUGACUGUGAGGCAGCACUUAACCAACUUGAGUGUGUGUUUGUGUCAGGACCCCCAAUUUACUGAUGUGGUAAAAUUCCCCAUCGUCUUUCUUUAGAGAUGAAAAGAACCACCAUCUCAAGGCUUUGUUUGCCUAUUCCCCCACCUUGCCCCCUAGAUCUCAUCCUUUUGAAUGGAAAGAGGCAGUGAAAGAGGCUUUCUUGCUGAGAAGUGAAAGUAGUUGAAACAUUGCAGCCGUUUUAAUGUUGCAUGAGCCAUUAAGAAUGAGCGAUGGUGAUUGAUAAGGAUGCACGUGUGAUUGGAGUAAUUUAAGGUCAGGGGCUCAUGCUUUUAAUGGGCCUAGUGUGUCCAUGUGUUCGCAUGCACUAAGCUUUAACUCUGCAGACGUUGAGGGAAUUAAUGUGAUGCCUAUCAUCUAAGUGCUGUAAAGUAAAGAGAUAAGAAGAGAGACAUAGGAAACAGAAAUGGCCAGUUAGUGUGUUUGGCAUCUGUUUGUCAGUGUAAACGUGUGUUCAUAUUUAUCUCCCUCUUGCUUUUAAAACAUUACCGUCUUGUGACUACACUCUUAGGAGAAAAAGGUUUGGGUUCUUUACUCAGCUCCAAAGAGCCUUUUUUUGCACAAAAUUCACAUGAUUGCUUAAUGUGAGUAUCUAUGUGUACAGUAUGUAUUUACUUUAUUAAAAGUUUUAUUUAUAAAUAGUUUUAAACACUACACUACAUUACUUUUGCAUUUGCAUUUCAUACUGCAAAAAAAAAAAGAAAAGUUUACAUUUUACUUCUUCAGCUUUGAGUUUGAUUAAAAUAGACAAAUGACAGAUGAUCAGAUCCAGUGUCCUUUCUCUUUAAGAUGACUGUUUAUCUCAGUAUCAUUAUACAGUAUACGGUCUUGUAUAUUCUUGACUCAUAAUUCAGCAACAGAUGCAUAAAAUUGUGUUUAUCAUAAACAGCAAACAACUUCAGCAUGUAGCGCUGUUUUUUCACUCCUAUCUACAUAGAGCAUAGGCAGCCGCGCACUCGCAGAUGUGCAACUUGCGCGAGUGAUCAAAACGCACGAGCAAACUAUUUCAAAUUUAAACGGUCACGGAAAGUCAGUUGAGCUAAAAGCUUAAGGGCGACAUUACCCUGCAAGCACAAAGAAGAAACGUCGACAAAUCUGUUUCGUCCAAGUCUGCACUAUUCUCCACCAGGAGAAAGCAUAGGAAAAACCAAAACAAGUUUCCAGGAGCACAUCACAGCCAAACAUUGAAUAAAGCCGACUGCACUGAAAUAGAUCAAGAGAAUAUCAAACGUCCAGUGUCAAAGUGCCAUAUUAAUUUAAAACUUGGGUUUUAGCAAAGACCUUCACCUGACUCGGAGAGCUCUUCUGAAUUCUGGCCACCAACAUCAUCAGAGCCAUGAGAAGUGAAAGUCACAUGGGACAUUUGACUUCAAAACAAUGGCAUAAUUGUCUUAAUGAUCAUAAAUGUCAUAAAAGUGUCUCUGGAGUGCAGCAUUACUGGUUUGACCAUCUUCAUACAGAUAAAACACAACACUCCUCUUCAUGGAUCAGCACAUCCAUCCUCAACCUGAUCUUUCAUAUGGUGUCAAGACCCCUCAGUGCAGAGUGUCGGAAUCAAACUGUUGACAUGUAGAUGGCUGUAGUCAAGUGAUGUUUUGUUUAAUUUGUUGUAUACAAAAGACCUCACUUAGUUUGUUUCAUUAUAACCAUGCUGUAGAAAGACCCCUCAGUGGCAACAGAAUUAUUCUGUAUUCUGUAAUUAUUCCGAUUUUCAUAGGUCAUUUGUUUUAUUUAUUUUAGUUAGUUAAAUGUACUUAGUUUUGCUCUUAUUUUUUAAUGUUACUUAUGGUUAUAAUUUUAACUUAUAGUUAAUGUUAAAUGAUUUAAUGUUAAUGAUUUUUACAUAAAUAUUGCUACUAUUUAGACUUUUACCUUAUUAUUACAAACCUGUGGAUUUAUGAAGUCAGUUAUUAUAACAAUCUGCAUUAUG